RNAcentral lists this ribosomal RNA (389 nucleotides) under uncultured bacterium. Its description in RNAcentral is "bacterial SSU rRNA". It matches the Rfam family "Bacterial small subunit ribosomal RNA", at positions 29 to 400 of the family's 1533-position model. The record is from RNAcentral.
AACGAACGCUGGCGGCGUGCCUAACACAUGCAAGUCGAGCGGGAAAGUUCCCUUCGGGGAGCGAGUACAGCGGCGAACGGGUGAGUAACACGUAGGUAACCUACCCUGGAGUCCGGGAUAACCUGCCGAAAGGCGGGCUAAUACCAGAUAAGACCACGAGGGCUGCGGCCCUUGGGGAAAAAGAUGGCCUCUGCUUGCAUGCUAUCACUCCGGGAUGGGCCUGCGCGCCAUUAGCAGUUGGUGAGGUAACGGCUCACCAAGGCUGAGAUGGCUAGCUGGUCUGAGAGGAUGGCCAGCCACACUGGGACUGAGACACGGCCCAGACUCCUACGGGAGGCAGCAGUGGGGAAUAUUGCGCAAUGGGCGAAAGCCUGACGCAGCGACGCCGC